UCCAUCUGAAAGCAGGUGAUGGCAAUUUACUACUAAUCAAGGAACCGGCUUCAAUGACGAGAUGCGCAUGAUAUCGCAUGCGAUUUAUCAUGCAUCGCUGGAAACUACAUUAGUGACAACACAGCUUAGAGUAUAAACAUGUACAUUUCUCUGAAUUUCAGUUAAUAGUUACAAAUACAGAGCUUAUAAUGUCUGUCAUUGCUCAACCACAAAGACCUAAAGUACAGCCAUCUGAUUUCAUAACUAAUGCAGUAUUACACUGUGAAGUGAUUUACUGUUAAUAUUUUACACUACCAUAUAAUUAACUAUAUUUGUACAGGUGAGGUAACACAACGAAAAAAUAACAGGAUGGAGACUACCUGAUUCUUCACCUAUGGCCUUAGCUUCAAAUGCAAGAAGUCCAGCAACUUUCUGAGCUGGUGGAUAUUCUAUCAGAGACUGCAUGAACAACGUUAUGAACAGAAUGAUGUCUAAUUGUCUUAUGGCAAAGUUCAAUAUGAGGGUUGGUGGACAUCUGGAAAAUAAGUCUUUUAAAGGCACACCUUUGUAUUAUGUUAUUCAAGCUUGACAAAAAUGUAGCUUGAAGGAGAAGGGACAGCUGAGUAACAAAGUCCUGGUACGCAGACGACGAUACUAUUACACUGACAAGAGUGUAAUGAUGAUGGAGACACAAGCCAGAGAAAGUGGGGACCAAACACCAGGCCAGAAUUCUGCAUGAGUCAGAUCCAGUGGGUGCAGAUCAUCAUACAGAUGGUUCAAGUGUGGAUCCACCUAAUAUUCAAGAUUUUCUGUCCUGGGACACUCGGCUAACCAUCAAGAAAGAACACACUCCAGUGGGCAUCCUUUAUCCAUCCAGACCCUCAUACAGAUGGUUGGAGUUUUGAUUCACCUAAAGUACCAUGCAAGAGCACUCAUUUUCCCUCUUGAGACCAUGGUGUGACCUGCAAGGUCGAAUGGAGACUGUAAACGAGACAAUCUUGGAGUCACCUGCAUUCACUGGUCCAGUUGUUAAUCCAAUUACAGAUGGAGAUUAUAGAAGAGGAUGAUGUCUUUUCUCCAACAUCUUUCUAGACUGAUAAAAGAUCUAGACAGGCUUGAACAAAAGUUAACAGAGGGGCUUAUAUAGAGAAUGGUGAGCAGCUACACAUAAAAGAAGAACAUGGAGAAUCUGCCCAGAGGUGUUAACCAGCAAUGCAGCUAUACAACUAAAUUGAUGCAGGCGGAAACAAUAAUGCAGCUGCUGCAGAUGAAGAAUCUGUCCGUCUACCACUGAAGGAGACGCGGAAAAUCGGGAAAAGAUGUUCUUUGCCCGAGGAAGCAUUUGAUUAAUUUAAAGAUAUUGUGUUUCUUUGUAUGUUAUAGAAAAACAUUGCUUUUUUGCAUACACUCGUGUAAAUAUGCA
Molecule: non-coding RNA, 1402 nt
Organism: Paramisgurnus dabryanus
Lineage: Eukaryota; Metazoa; Chordata; Actinopteri; Cypriniformes; Cobitidae
Source: RefSeq, a predicted model, not a curated record